GCAGAGGUGACUGAGAUCCCGGCCACCUGCCUCACCUGAUGGAGGUGGGACACGUGUCACUCCUGCAGACUCCAGGGGAUCUUCCAGCAAAGGCCUGAAGGAUCUGAAAGAAGCCAGGGUAGAAAGAUCCUCCCGAGAAACGGAGCGGAGUGGACACAACGAGGGGACAGUGACAGCAAGGAGGCGGGCCAGAGACGACAGCAGUCCUGCUCACAGGGCCUUCUCGAUGUUCCAAGGGGAGGGAGUGGCCGUGGAGCUGGGAGGACAGACGGAGGAAGCACAGGAGGCCACGUGGCGCUGUGGACGGCAGCCGAGAAGUCGCAACCACCCAACAUCAUCUACCACAGUCCUCAGAUUAAAUUCAGGACACCCAGCUAAAAAAGAUGUAGCGGCUUUACUGAGAUAUAAUUUACAUAGCAGAAAGUUCACCCACUUAAAGUGUGCAAUGGUUUGGAGCGCUGUAUUCCAGAAUUGUGCAAGCGUCACCACUAUUCAAUUUUAGAAUAUUCUCAUCACCUUCCCCCAAAAUACCUUGCGCACCUUAGAGUCACUUCCCAACACUCCCCCUGCCCUGCAGCCACUCCUCUACUGCCUGUCCCCGAGGACUGCCCGUGGCGGACAUUGCAUAUAAAUAGAACCGUAUGCUAUACACUCCUGGCUUCUUUCCCCCGGUGCAAUGCUCUCAGGUCCAUUUACUCUGUGCCCUCUCUCAGUACUGCCUUCCUUUUUAGGGCUGAGCAAUAGCUCCUGCCCCUUGUGGACCCCGUAUCUGUUCAUCCACUCCUGCACUGAUUGAUCUUUGAGUUGUUUCCACAUUGAGGCUGUUAUGAAAAA
This is a non-coding RNA of Oryctolagus cuniculus (rabbit), 834 nucleotides long. Lineage: Eukaryota; Metazoa; Chordata; Mammalia; Lagomorpha; Leporidae. The record is from RefSeq and is a predicted model, not a curated record.